UACGGAGGAUCCAAGCGUUAUCCGGAUUCAUUGGGUUUAAAGGGUGCGAAGGCGGACUUGUAAGUCAGUGGUGAAAUCCUACGGCUCAACUGUAGAACUGCCAUUGAUACUGCAAGCCUUGAGUAUACUUGAAGUGGCUGGAAUGUAUCAUGUAGCGGUGAAAUGCUUAGAUAUGAUACAGAACACCGAUUGCGAAGGCAGGUCACUAAGUUAUAACUGACGCUCAUGCACGAAAGCGUGGGGAUCAAACAGG
RNAcentral lists this ribosomal RNA (253 nucleotides) under uncultured bacterium. RNAcentral's name for it is "partial 16S ribosomal RNA". It matches the Rfam family "Bacterial small subunit ribosomal RNA", at positions 524 to 776 of the family's 1533-position model. The record is from RNAcentral.